GGGAAUUUUGUGCAAUGGGCGAAAGCCUGACACAGCGACACCGCGUGAACGAAGAAGCCCUUUGGGGUGUAAAGUUCUGUCGGCUGGAACGAAAAAAAUGACGGUACCAGCAAAGGAAGCAUCGGCUAACUACGUGCCAGCAGCCGCGGUAAGACGUAGGAUGCGAGCGUUGUCCGGAUUUAUUGGGCGUAAAGAGUUCGUAGGCGGUUUGUUAAGUCUGAUGUUAAAGAUCGGGGCUCAACCCUGGGAGUGCAUUGGAUACUGGCAGACUGGAGUGUGGUAGAGGCUAGUGGAAUUCCUAGUGUAGCGGUGAAAUGCGUAGAUAUUAGGAAGAACACCAGUGGCGUAGGCGACUAGCUGGGCCAUAACUGACGCUGAGGAACGAAAGCCAGGGGAGCGAAU
RNAcentral lists this ribosomal RNA (402 nucleotides) under uncultured bacterium. RNAcentral describes it as "bacterial SSU rRNA". It matches the Rfam family "Bacterial small subunit ribosomal RNA", at positions 357 to 773 of the family's 1533-position model. The record is from RNAcentral.